GACCUCAAAUCAGGUAGGACUACCCGCUGAACUUAAGCAUAUCAAUAAGCCGGAGGAAAAGAUCAUUACAGAAUGAAAAGUGCUUAACUGCAUUUUUUCUUACACAUGUGUUUUUCUUUUUUUGAAAA
This 128-nucleotide ribosomal RNA is filed under the name Lodderomyces parapsilosis. Its description in RNAcentral is "Candida parapsilosis partial 28S ribosomal RNA". Lineage: Eukaryota; Fungi; Ascomycota; Pichiomycetes; Serinales; Debaryomycetaceae. The record is from RNAcentral.